UCUGACAGUGUUGCACUACUGUUUGCACCAAAGAAGCAGUGCAAUAAUAUUGUCAAAGC
RNAcentral lists this microRNA precursor (59 nucleotides) under Microcaecilia unicolor. RNAcentral's name for it is "Mun-Mir-130-P2a_pre stem-loop". The record is from RNAcentral. Lineage: Eukaryota; Metazoa; Chordata; Amphibia; Gymnophiona; Siphonopidae.